This 697-nucleotide ribosomal RNA is filed under the name uncultured diatom. RNAcentral describes it as "bacterial SSU rRNA". It matches the Rfam family "Bacterial small subunit ribosomal RNA", at positions 42 to 778 of the family's 1533-position model. Lineage: Eukaryota; Bacillariophyta. The record is from RNAcentral.
GUAUGCUUUACACAUGCAAGUCGUACGAGAGUUUUUAACUCAAGUGGCGGACGGGUGAGUAACACGUAAGAAUUUGCCUUUAGGAGGGGGAUAACAACUGGAAACGGUUGCUAAUACCCCAUAUGCUUUCGAGUGAAAUGGAUUUUUCCGCCUAAAGAGAAGCUUGCGGCUGAUUAGCUUGUUGGUGAGGUAAUGGCUCACCAAGGCGACGAUCAGUAUCUGGUUUGAGAGGACGAUCAGACACACUGGAACUGAGACACGGUCCAGACUCCUACGGGAGGCAGCAGUGGGGAAUUUUCCGCAAUGGGCGAAAGCCUGACGGAGCAAUACCGCGUGAGGGAUGACGGCCUAUGGGUUGUAAACCUCUUUUUUCAGGGAGGAAUCAAAUGACGUGUACCUGAAGAAUAAGCAUCGGCUAACUCCGUGCCAGCAGCCGCGGUAAGACGGAGGAUGCAAGUGUUAUCCGGAAUCACUGGGCGUAAAGCGUCUGUAGGUGGUCCAAUAAGUCAACUGUUAAAUCUUGAGGCUCAACCUCAAAACCGCAGUCGAAACUAUUAGACUAGAGUAUAGUAGGGGUAAAGGGAAUUUCCAGUGGAGCGGUGAAAUGCGUAGAGAUUGGAAAGAACACCGAUGGCGAAGGCACUUUACUGGGCUAUUACUGACACUCAGAGACGAAAGCUAGGGUAGCGAAUGGGAU